RNAcentral lists this ribosomal RNA (550 nucleotides) under uncultured bacterium. RNAcentral describes it as "bacterial SSU rRNA". It matches the Rfam family "Bacterial small subunit ribosomal RNA", at positions 355 to 896 of the family's 1533-position model. The record is from RNAcentral.
UGGGGAAUUUUGGACAAUGGGCGCAAGCCUGAUCCAGCCAUGCCGCGUGUGUGAAGAAGGCCUUCGGGUUGUAAAGCACUUUCGGACGGAACGAAAUCGCGCGGGUUAAUAGCCCGCGUGGAUGACGGUACCGUAAGAAGAAGCCCCGGCUAACUCCGUGCCAGCAGCCGCGGUAAUACGGAGGGGGCUAGCGUUGUUCGGAAUUACUGGGCGUAAAGGGCGCGUAGGCGGGCGAUCAAGUCAGAGGUGAAAGGCCUGGGCUCAACCUGGGAACUGCCUUUGAAACUGAUAGUCUAGAGUCCGGGAGAGGAUGGCGGAAUUCCCAGUGUAGAGGUGAAAUUCGUAGAUAUUGGGAAGAACACCAGUGGCGAAGGCGGCCAUCUGGUCCGGUACUGACGCUCAUGCACGAAAGCGUGGGGAGCAAACAGGAUUAGAUACCCUGGUAGUCCACGCCCUAAACGAUGUCAACUAGGUGUUGGGGAAGGAGACUUUCUUAGUACCGCAGCUAACGCGUGAAGUUGACCGCCUGGGGAGUACGGUCGCAAGAUUA